Long non-coding RNA from Zingiber officinale, 1471 nucleotides. RefSeq lists it as uncharacterized. The record is from RefSeq and is a predicted model, not a curated record. NCBI's taxonomy places the organism in Eukaryota, Viridiplantae, Streptophyta, Magnoliopsida, Zingiberales, Zingiberaceae. The transcript has 3 exons.
GACCGUGCUAUUUGUCGGCGGCAGGUGUCUCGAGGAUGAAGCUACUAGCUGUCCUUUUUGUCUCCUAGCGCUUUCACCUGCUCCCGGGCCGAGCGGACCAGCCGCUCGGCGCUCAUGGUCUCCGGGAAUGCGCCUACCUUGGCCCGGGCGGUGAAGCCCUGCUCAUGUGCUCGGAUGGAAUUGCGCUUGAUUGUCAUGCGGCUCGGCCAAGCGUUCCGCUCGGCCCAUAGACUCUACUUGAGCAUCGGAAACCCAACCCCUAGUCGGACUGUCUUUCGUCCGGUCCGUGAGACCCCUGGCCGACUGACCGGUCGGCUGGAUGCUCAGUCGGUCUGCUACUCCGUUCGGAACGACCUUGGGGUUGACCUUCCUGACCAUUGACCUCCACGCGUCGUGGACCUCCCGUCAAUGAGGGUCCCCGUCUUUACCACCGGAUCAUAGAUAUUACAAACUGAAAAGGAAGAUUGAUUUCACAUGAUUAGUUCAUAGUUACCUGAUAAUUGGUUACUAAAUGGGUCUUUGCUAAAAAGCUCUAUUGAAUGGAAUUCAAAAUUGUGCUUAUGAAAAACAAGGUAUAGUUAUUAUCCAUCAAACUAAUUUUAAAAUUUUUUAGAGAAAAAUUCCUUAGGCAUAUCAAAUUUAUUGGAAUUAAUUCGCUGAUAAAAAAAAUAUACUCUUCUUCUUUGCAGUCCUGUAUUUCUACUAACAAAUCAUAAUAAGAAGACUGUACCAAAAAUAAUUUAUUACAGACAACUGACAGCUUAGUAAUACAAUAAGUUAACUGCAUAGUUUUUCUUGGUUGUUUUUUCUAGCAGUUCAACAACUGUAUUAUGUUGCACACUCUCUCUUAAGACUCAUUUAACAUACUGAAUUGGGUUCAUUUAAGCACAAUCAGCCAUUCCGUGUGUAUCUUUUGCCCUAUCUUCUGUAGGCAAUUAUUGCUGCAACAUUGUCUUCUGAAACUCUCCUAACAUGUGAGGUAGUGUUAGCAGCAACAGCUUCUGAAGCAGUUGCUCUUGCUAGAGCAGUUUUGGAAGUUGCCAAAGUGGCUGCUUUGAAGAUUGGAAUGAAGUUAUUGUUCAUCCUGAGGCUGAGACAUCGGAAAACAUUCUCAUCAAGCACUUCAUGAAGGAGGAUCUGAAUAAUACUUGACAUUUUGAAUCCUAGAGACAAGCAGGUUAUGCUACUGAGGUUUGGACUGGAAAAUGGGACGAUGAAGGCACUACAAGAGAUAGGAAAGUCAAUGGGUGUGAGUCAAGAGAGAGUUCGACAAAUUAAGCCUUGAGCUUAAAAGCAAGAGGAGAAUGAGGAAUCUGCAGCAGUAUCUGAUAUUGUUAUUCAACACUGAACAUGGUAUUACCGGCAUUGCAGAUGAUGUAGUGCAAGAUAUGCGGCCAGCCGAUAGCCAAUGAGCAUCAACCCCAUGAUGCACACAUCAAUCCACAUAUGACUUAGCCCCACUGAUUUGAUG